UUUUAGCCCUGAUUGAACGGCAUGUUUGAGCUCUUUUCUUUAUUUUUUGGCGGAGCGGCUUUGCCGCUCCGCCAAAAAAUAAAGAAAAAGCGAGUAGUGAAAGCAGGAUUAAGC
Molecule: unclassified non-coding RNA, 114 nt
Filed under: Chryseobacterium scophthalmum
Lineage: Bacteria; Pseudomonadati; Bacteroidota; Flavobacteriia; Flavobacteriales; Weeksellaceae
Description: Flavo-1 RNA
Source: RNAcentral